ACUGCUGGGCGGGGCUGGAUCCCGAGUAACCGAUCCUCCCCUCAGAGGAGGUGCUGAACUCAAGAUUCCUCCUAAGAACCUACUCUGGGACAACAUGUAAACUGAAGACCAGCCGAGACAUCCAGCCUUGUGGAACCGAGCAACUUCUGAAUUCUUGAACUUUCUGUUCACAGCCAGCGGUUGUUGGAUUAGCUAGACUGCAGCCUGUAAGUCAUUCCAAUAGAUCCAAUGACUCUCCACAGAGAUUAGUUCUAUAAGUUCUGUUACUCUAGGGAGCCCUGACUGGUACAGCUCCUAUACCUGAAGUCUUCAAAAACUUAAAUACGAAGUAAAUGUUUGUCCGUGGAGAACUUUGUAUUUUGUACUUUGGGGUUUAUCCAAACAGAACAAUGGCUUCUCUGGACGCAGAGCACACAAGUGGUAGGAAGAGUCUUAAGAACUUCCUGCCCUGACUAAAGGCUGAACCCAGGCUAUAAAGUGAUUGUUUUGCAAGCAUUCAGAUCUGAGGAUGAUCCUCAGAACCCAGUGGAAAAUUCCAGGAGCGGUGGAGGUGUGCUUGUAUUCCUCUGUUGGGGAGGCAGAGACAGGCCGACCCCUCGGCCUUUCUAACCAACCAGUCUGGGAUGAGCAGUGAGCUCCAAGGUGAACCAAAGGAAGAGAAAGUUUCUUGAGCCCCCACAUAACGGGAGAACAAAGUGAGGUGCUGAGAAGAGAGCUCUCCCCCUGGGUUAGAGCUCUUGCUCUCACACAGUAAAACUCAUGUCUAAAGGGCCCAUCCAUAACUCUCCAACGACCUCAUUUUUAUAACCCUAAAACUUUCCAUCGCUGACUUGAUAUAUACUGAAAAUUGUAGCCAUGUGGGGUCAAACAUGGACCGCUGCCUCAGGACAGGUGAAUUUAAAUACCCGGUUGUAGAGUAGCCCACGUCAAAGGUGUCGAGACCUCGGUUCCCCGUUAUAAAUGCCUUCACAAUGUUUUAGAUAAAAAACAAAAUGUGUUAUGUAUCUCUGUGUGGAUUCGAGUACAUGAGUGUAGUUGUUUUUGGAGUCCAGAAGAAGGGAUCAAAACCUUUGGAGCUAGAGUUACAAGUGUUUGUGAUCUGACAACUACCAAGAGCCAGUUUUCUAGCCACCCUUUCCAAUGUUUUAAAUAAACAAGAGUAGCUAACUGUAUUAUUUGACUCUCCUGGACAGUGUGUUCUGCCUUGAGUUCCUGCCCUAACUUUCUUUCAUGAUAGGCUAUAAGUUGUAAAAUGAAAUAAACCCUUUCCUUCCCAA
Long non-coding RNA from Mus musculus (house mouse), 1277 nucleotides. RefSeq annotates it as predicted gene, 35243. The transcript is spliced from 2 exons. NCBI's taxonomy places the organism in Eukaryota, Metazoa, Chordata, Mammalia, Rodentia, Muridae. The record is from RefSeq and is a predicted model, not a curated record.